CAUCUAAAAGAGAAAUACCUUAUCCUAUAUAAUGCUUGAAAACAUUUGAGCAAAAGAAAAAUAGCUAGAGAUACACUAACCAAAAUAAGUACUGUAGAAAAUGAAUGCAAAUCAGUCUCAAUUGUUAAAGGACAACCGUGUUACAAGAUAAACCAUUUGCAUUACACAAUCUGUUUUUUUUUCCCCAUCUCUGUAGCUACCUGGUGAUGUAUACAGUGCUGACAAAGGCUUAAUUCCCACAGAGCAGUUCAUUACAUAUAUAAGGUUCUUACUGGAGUUGAGCUGAAUUUCAGAUACUUUGUUCUGGGCCAAAUUUGAUUUGGCAUUUAGCCAAAACACUUGCCAAUUUGAUUUCUUCCUGUUCACCUAGCUAAAUGGGUUGUAGUGAUGUCUCUAUUGAAGACAUGUUAAAUAGAUCUGAAACUCAAAUAUAGUUGAGAUUUGGACUGAUUAAGUUCAGAUAAAAGGAGAAAUUCAGAAGAAAAUUCUGCUUCCUGAAUUAGGCCCCCCAUCCUGUAAUGAACCCUGGGUGGACAGGGGGGUUGGCCUGCACAGAGCUCAUUGCAGGCUUGGGUCUCAUCUCUGACCUAUCAUUGGUGAAGGUAAAAAGAACUAAUCAGUUUCUUAGAAUGAGGUUACACAAAUGGAUCCCAGGGAAAUUAGAAAGUCAACUGUCAUUGGACACCUAACGCCCAUUAGCGUUUUGGAAAUUUUUCCUUUUAUUUGCAUUAUGCCUUAUGUGGAAUUGCUGCUCAGGGCGAUCCCUGUGUGUAACCUCAGCUUUGCUCUCCUAGAUUUUUUGAGAAGUCCUUCCUUAUAGAAAAUACCAGUUCUGAAAACAAUGUUUAACAUCUAAACCCCUCUUCAUCCUCUGUUCGCCUUAUUUACUCUUUUGCCUCCGGAGCCUGGUCGGGUUCCUUUGUUUGGAGUCGGGCUGGGUCCGGCUCUCCUGCUUCAGCUGCGAGCGCUGCCGGCAGGGGGCGCUGUGUUCACUGAACGCCUGGCUCAGGCUCCGGCUCCCCAGGCGGGCGGGCUCACUCCGGCUCGCGGGGGGGGUCUCAGUCCUGUGGAAGUUUCUUGUCCCCAUGGCCCCCGUCCUCUCCCCGGGAGUCCGGGGGUCCGCGGCCGCUCUCUGGCAGCCAAGGCGAGCAGCGGAGAGCCCGGCUGGGGGCCAAUCACCGCUCGCUGUCCGGGCCAGGGCGCGAGCCUCGCCGCCCCUCCUCCCUCAGGCGCCGCGGCCGCCUCUUGCCCCGCCGGGGGCUCCCCCGGGGCGCGCCCUGUCCCGCGGCCGGCGCGCUGAGGCGGAGCCCAUGAGCUCGCUCCGCGGCGAGCCCCGGUGGGCGGGCGGCCCGCGCCUCACAGCAGCUGCUCGCCCUCCAGGCCGGCCCCGUCGUGAGGCGCGGCGCCCUCGUGCCGCCCGCUCCAGUCGCGCUCGAUGUAGAGGUGGAAGGGAUCGUGCUUGGACUCCAGCUUGCGGGAGCGGGUGUAGGCCAGGAUCAGCCCGCCCGCCAGGCAGCCGUAGAAGAUCAUGAUGAGCAGGAUGUAGAGAAUCAACAGAUAAUCCAGGAUGACAAAGUGGCACUGAACCAGGAAGAAAGGAGGCAGCAACGACACCACCAAUGGAAGAAUCUCUUUCAUUUCUGAAAAAAACAGACUCCAACGAAAGACUGCUGAGCUGGAAUUGAUAUGCAAAGUAGACACAAUCAACUCAGGAUUGAAUAAGGACUGGGAAUGGCUGAGCCAUUACAAACAUUGAAUCUAUCUCCCCUUAGUUGGAGGAUUCCAAUCCCGUGAGGAGCCAUGCCCUGAGGUGGAGAACUGCUAGGUUGGGAUGAAGCACAUGAUCCACAUCCUGUGACAGGAGGUGAGGAAUGGUCAGGAGCUUGAACGAUGGUUGGACACAGAGGUGAAGCAACUUCAGAUGCAACUCCUGCAACAGAGCAAGGGCUGCCUGGGUGGAAGACAACACUGCUUCAUAGGAACGGCCCUUGAGUAGCCAGUCGUUGAGAUAUGGGAAAACUAGGAUUGCUUCUUGUUGGAGGGGACAGGGAGGUUGUCUGUGUGGUGCAUCAGGCCACUUCCUGAGCCCAGCCUUCUCUGCAACCAGGAAAGGGGCGUGUCCGGGAGGAGCUAUCAUCGCUGAGGCCACAAAGAGCCAUCUGCUUUGCAUCCGGCCCCUGGGAAGGGGGAUGUGGAUGAGCUUGGGGGGAAUGCAGCUGAUGCAGGACAACUACAGCAAGCAACUUGCUCUGACUGCACUGAGUGCCGGGGUAGGAAACAGGAGGCUAAGGAGGCGAUACUGCUGGGCAAGUGCCACGCUCCCGACACCUGCUCAGCAUUCAGCACCCCUGGAGAGCACGUCAGGACCAAAUGAGGAAGAAACCCAUCAUCAGUCCAGAUCUCUCUGCCUCAGAAUAGAAGACAACUCAUCACCCGAUCUCUCCCUUCUUACAAGCUGGAGGCUUGCAAGAUGUAACAAAGGCCCCUGCGUUUUUUAUCUGAAAUAUAAAUAAUCUGUCUCAUAAUCAACACUGGUGAGAGCCACUCAGAUUAUCCAUGCAACAAUCUGAGAACCAGAGCCUGCUACCCUCCCCCAUGAUUCACCCCCAAAUUUGCAGACUUUCCCACAUUAAAUGUGGAAUUGUGGAGUCUGCAGCUUAUGUGGAGAAGAGGUAGCACAAGAUCAGUGUGGUACUGAGCUCUGAAAAAGGACAUGUGGUCAGUCAGCCUUCCUCUUCCUUCUAACCUCCAAUCCAUGUGGAGGGGAAGAGAAAAUGUUUUGUUCUUCUUUGUUAGUCUCUAAAGUGCCACAAGUACUCCUGUUCUUUUUGCGGAUACAGACUAACACGGCUGCUACUCUGAAACUCUUCUUUGAGGCUUGACCAUGUGUUCCCUUCUCAAAUGGAGGCAUGGCCAAGUCAUUAGUUUAAUUUGUUUUUCACUUUUCUUAUGUGAAAUCUUACACAUGGGCUUUACUACUUUUACUUUGCUAGACUUUGUUGCAACCCUCUUUGCCUUGUUUAUUGUCUAGUGGCCAGGAUCAUCACUAAAGAAAAUGGCUGGCUUGCACAAGGCACCCUGUCAUAACUAUAAAGCGAAGGGUGUAACAGCUGUCCUGUGUACAGUACUAUAAAAUCCCUCCUGGCCAGAGACUCCAAAAUCCUUUUUCCUGUAAAGGGUUAAGAAGCUCAGGUAACCUGGC
Chrysemys picta bellii (western painted turtle) is the source of this 3202-nucleotide non-coding RNA. The record is from RefSeq and is a predicted model, not a curated record. NCBI's taxonomy places the organism in Eukaryota, Metazoa, Chordata, Testudines, Emydidae.